UACGUAGGCAGCAAGCGUUGUUCGGAAUUACUGGGCGUAAAGAGUGUGUAGGCGGUGUUCCAAGUCUGUUGUGAAAUCUCCCGGCUUAACUGGGAGGGUGCGGCGGAAACUGGGAUGCUAGAGGAUGGGAGAGGUAAGCGGAAUUCCUGGUGUAGCGGUGAAAUGCGUAGAUAUCAGGAGGAACACCUGCGGUGUAGACGGCUUUCUGGACCAUUGUUGACGCUGAGACACGAAAGCGUGGGUAGCAAACAGG
Molecule: ribosomal RNA, 253 nt
Filed under: uncultured bacterium
Lineage: Bacteria
Description: partial 16S ribosomal RNA
Rfam family: Bacterial small subunit ribosomal RNA
Source: RNAcentral